GUUUUAGGGGUGGAUCUGGUGUCCCUGAGUGUAUGUGGUGAACCUGAAUUUGCCUUGGGUUUCCUCAUACUCAUUCAGGAGUGUCAGUCGCCCCUGCAC
Molecule: microRNA precursor, 99 nt
Organism: Cavia porcellus (domestic guinea pig)
Lineage: Eukaryota; Metazoa; Chordata; Mammalia; Rodentia; Caviidae
Source: Ensembl